RNAcentral lists this transfer RNA (72 nucleotides) under Lasiognathus sp. NMMBP 9030. Its description in RNAcentral is "tRNA-Thr". It matches the Rfam family "tRNA". From Rfam's summary of the family: Transfer RNA (tRNA) molecules are approximately 80 nucleotides in length. Their secondary structure includes four short double-helical elements and three loops (D, anti-codon, and T loops). Lineage: Eukaryota; Metazoa; Chordata; Actinopteri; Lophiiformes; Thaumatichthyidae. The record is from RNAcentral.
GCACUAGUAGCUCAAACUUAGAGCGUCGGCCUUGUAAGCCGACGGUUGGAGGUUAGAAUCCCCCCUACUGCU